Molecule: ribosomal RNA, 1512 nt
Filed under: Lactiplantibacillus plantarum
Lineage: Bacteria; Bacillati; Bacillota; Bacilli; Lactobacillales; Lactobacillaceae
Description: partial 16S ribosomal RNA
Rfam family: Bacterial small subunit ribosomal RNA
Source: RNAcentral
GCUCAGGACGAACGCUGGCGGCGUGCCUAAUACAUGCAAGUCGAACGAACUCUGGUAUUGAUUGGUGCUUGCAUCAUGAUUUACAUUUGAGUGAGUGGCGAACUGGUGAGUAACACGUGGGAAACCUGCCCAGAAGCGGGGGAUAACACCUGGAAACAGAUGCUAAUACCGCAUAACAACUUGGACCGCAUGGUCCGAGCUUGAAAGAUGGCUUCGGCUAUCACUUUUGGAUGGUCCCGCGGCGUAUUAGCUAGAUGGUGGGGUAACGGCUCACCAUGGCAAUGAUACGUAGCCGACCUGAGAGGGUAAUCGGCCACAUUGGGACUGAGACACGGCCCAAACUCCUACGGGAGGCAGCAGUAGGGAAUCUUCCACAAUGGACGAAAGUCUGAUGGAGCAACGCCGCGUGAGUGAAGAAGGGUUUCGGCUCGUAAAACUCUGUUGUUAAAGAAGAACAUAUCUGAGAGUAACUGUUCAGGUAUUGACGGUAUUUAACCAGAAAGCCACGGCUAACUACGUGCCAGCAGCCGCGGUAAUACGUAGGUGGCAAGCGUUGUCCGGAUUUAUUGGGCGUAAAGCGAGCGCAGGCGGUUUUUUAAGUCUGAUGUGAAAGCCUUCGGCUCAACCGAAGAAGUGCAUCGGAAACUGGGAAACUUGAGUGCAGAAGAGGACAGUGGAACUCCAUGUGUAGCGGUGAAAUGCGUAGAUAUAUGGAAGAACACCAGUGGCGAAGGCGGCUGUCUGGUCUGUAACUGACGCUGAGGCUCGAAAGUAUGGGUAGCAAACAGGAUUAGAUACCCUGGUAGUCCAUACCGUAAACGAUGAAUGCUAAGUGUUGGAGGGUUUCCGCCCUUCAGUGCUGCAGCUAACGCAUUAAGCAUUCCGCCUGGGGAGUACGGCCGCAAGGCUGAAACUCAAAGGAAUUGACGGGGGCCCGCACAAGCGGUGGAGCAUGUGGUUUAAUUCGAAGCUACGCGAAGAACCUUACCAGGUCUUGACAUACUAUGCAAAUCUAAGAGAUUAGACGUUCCCUUCGGGGACAUGGAUACAGGUGGUGCAUGGUUGUCGUCAGCUCGUGUCGUGAGAUGUUGGGUUAAGUCCCGCAACGAGCGCAACCCUUAUUAUCAGUUGCCAGCAUUAAGUUGGGCACUCUGGUGAGACUGCCGGUGACAAACCGGAGGAAGGUGGGGAUGACGUCAAAUCAUCAUGCCCCUUAUGACCUGGGCUACACACGUGCUACAAUGGAUGGUACAACGAGUUGCGAACUCGCGAGAGUAAGCUAAUCUCUUAAAGCCAUUCUCAGUUCGGAUUGUAGGCUGCAACUCGCCUACAUGAAGUCGGAAUCGCUAGUAAUCGCGGAUCAGCAUGCCGCGGUGAAUACGUUCCCGGGCCUUGUACACACCGCCCGUCACACCAUGAGAGUUUGUAACACCCAAAGUCGGUGGGGUAACCUUUUAGGAACCAGCCGCCUAAGUGGGACAGAUGAUUAGGGUGAAGUCGUACAAGGGGUAA